This 64-nucleotide transfer RNA is filed under the name Sepedophilus bipunctatus. RNAcentral's name for it is "tRNA-Phe". Lineage: Eukaryota; Metazoa; Arthropoda; Insecta; Coleoptera; Staphylinidae. The record is from RNAcentral.
AUUUAAGUAGCUUAUUAAGAGCAUAAUAUUGAAGAUAUUAAGGUAAUAAUUUUAUUUUUAAAUA